This is a long non-coding RNA of Bactrocera oleae (olive fruit fly), 510 nucleotides long. RefSeq lists it as uncharacterized. NCBI's taxonomy places the organism in Eukaryota, Metazoa, Arthropoda, Insecta, Diptera, Tephritidae. The record is from RefSeq and is a predicted model, not a curated record.
GCCAUUUCUGUAACAGUAAUAUAUUGAUUUUUUUUAAAUUUUAAAUAAUAUAAGUCAAAGACUAAAUAUUACGUUGAUUAAUACAUACUUUGAAUAUUCCUUUGAAAUGCCAACGGCGGCGCGAUGCUUUGUACGCCAGCGGUCCUCCAAAUCGAUAUAAGUGGAACCAAUAUAAUCAUCGGAAUAAUUAAAAUCGCAGGUCCAAAAAACGAUGAAAAUAAAAUAACUAUAAUGCAAAAGAGGAUAUUCUGACAAGUCUUUAAAGAACCCUGAUGCUCAAAAAGUCCAUUUAUAUUGCAAUGAAUUCAAUCCUCAAAAGCAUAUUUUGGACCCAGAUCGUUAUGACAAAAGGUGAUAUGAUGAAACUGGCUUUGAAUAUGACUUCAGAAGGGGUUGAGGACCUUUAAGUCCGCCCUACUAGACGAACGGUUUAUUUUUUUAGAGAUCGUGCAAUAAACCUUUGUUAUAAAUAUAAUUUGUGACAGCUUAAGGGCCAUGUUUAAAGACAUU